RNAcentral lists this long non-coding RNA (735 nucleotides) under Astyanax mexicanus (Mexican tetra). RNAcentral's name for it is "lncRNA (ENSAMXG00005004164.1)". Lineage: Eukaryota; Metazoa; Chordata; Actinopteri; Characiformes; Acestrorhamphidae. The record is from RNAcentral.
CGAGCAGGAAGGUGUGCGGGAAUUUCUGCCCCCGCGACCACAGAAGCGCGCCAGGUUCCAGCUCAUGGCAGUGAGAAGAUGGAGAGCAAGCGGGCGAAACGGUCUGGCAAAGUGCCAGCAAAGUAUACCGACGAUGUAUAUGAAGUACCUGUCUCCAGACACGUUCAAAGAAAAGUUUCAGAACCGAGUGUGUCCACCACUGCAGUGAAGAAAGCAGUUGAGCAAGUGACAGAACCUACUGCAAAUGCUGAAAAAGUGAAGAAACAUCAUUCCUUUACCACUCAACCUGCACAACAGCUGAAGAAAGAUCAAACUGCUGCUCCUACAGUCCAAUCUGCACUGCAAAAUGCCAAACAGACGGUAGAGAUGCAGAAGAUGAAGAUAAAUAAUCUGGAAGAAAAGCUCUUAAACUAAAGUUUGAUGAUCAACAUCAGUCAUCUGCAGGACCUCAGCAGUCAACCCUUCGGAUGUCUGCUACAUCUCAGCAUUCUCCAACCUCUACAGACUCAUCAAAGUCUUCAGAUUCAGAGGAUUCAGAGGCCUCGCUCAAAAAGAAGAAGCAAAAGACAAAAUCAAAGACUGAUUAUUUCAGCCGAGGUAUGCUAACAUUAUCAAUACCUGAUCCAUAACCAGAGGUUAAAAGGUUAAAAAACAUGUUGCAAUCAAUAGGCAGAGGUGGCAAGUACUUUGAUACUGUACUUAAUUAAAUGUUUAAACUAUCUAUAUUUUACUUCC